AAAGUGAGAAAAGUAGUGACAACUUGAAGCUGGUAUUUGAGGAAGAAGGAGAACUUCUGAACCCAUGAAGAGAGUAUACCCGGUUUGGGUGGGCAGGACUCCAAAGCCUUUAGGAUCAAUGGACCAGAGAAAUGAAAAUGCAACAAGAACAGCUGUGGGGAAAAGGCAGAAGGCAGCACUGAGAAGUGAAGGAAUAUUUGGGAGGAUCAGAAGCUUGGUCCUGAUUUUGCCAUCAACAGGAACUUGAUGACUUCAAGGGAGUCCCCAAACCCUGGGUUUCUGUUUUCUCAACUCUAACAUGAGGGGCUAGAUGCAUCUGGUUUAGUUAGUCUCCAUGAUGGUUUAGUUCGUCUCCAUGAUCCUGUGAAUUUCAGAUGUUGAAAAUCUUUGGAAAAGCCCUGAAAGAUGAACAGUGGUCUCAAAUAGUCAAGACCCCCUGCUGGGAGGAGCUAUCCUGCUCUUUGGAAGAAAUGGGC
RNAcentral lists this non-coding RNA (476 nucleotides) under Pan troglodytes (chimpanzee). The record is from RNAcentral. Lineage: Eukaryota; Metazoa; Chordata; Mammalia; Primates; Hominidae.